AAUUUUAGGAUUAAGCGUUUCUCUACAUACAAAGCCUCACCAGGUAGUGAUGGAUAUGUAGCUUCACAUGCAGCAGAGAUAUGCCACAAAGCAAUGAGGACUAGUGGCUUAGACUGGAAUAAAGUCCUUCAAGCGCAGCAUACAGUGGUUCAGCCGCCUUUGGCCGGUCCACUGUCCCAAGAAGAAUGUCUGCCGUAGUCAAAUAAGGAUCCCCAUAAAACCGUAGAUUGGUAUCCAUCCUUGUCGCAACAAUGUUCCCUUCCAGCGACACUCCAACGAAAGCCCCUGAUAAUUUUGCAGCAAUAUAUGGUGUUACUAAAUCUCCCAAAACUUAACUUCUGGGAAUAAAGAUGAAAGCUACCUCCUUACCUACAGUAAUUUGAAAUCUCAACCACAUGCCUUGUUUAAACUUUACAUGACACAUUGAGAUAUAACUUGGACCUUUUUUGAUAAGGAGAUAUAAUUUGGAUUAAAACAAGACUAUCUUAUUUUACCUCUCUUUUAUUCCUAACAAGUACCCAGCAGAAUGGGUCAUACAUCAAGUAUUUCACAUAAAAUGUAAUAUUCUAAAAGCCAGCAUCUAGCCAAGCAAAUCCAAUUUUCAUAACUUGCUGUUCUUACACAAUGGCGGUUCACAUAUUGACCAUGAAGGCAUGUAGUGGUAAUCCAAAAUAAGCAUAUUUCAGCACUAUACAGAAAUAUCUAGCAGGUUUUAAGAUAAAUUUCAAAUUUUAUGUAGAACAGAGUGCUCGGUCUGUUCUCAAAUUCAAGAAUACCCCAAGGACUGCUCUUCCAGUGAUGAAUUUGAACUGUCCCGAAAUCUCAAAUUUUUAUGAGGAAAUUUUUAACUAUGUCAGACAAUCACAAAGAGAAGGCAACUGGCUAUGGUAAUUCAUAAAGCAGAAUCCUAAGAGAUGUAGCCAAAGCCAUUCAGGAAACAAUACCUUUGCUACAACUGUAAGUAUAGCACAUGCCAGAACCUCUCUCUCCAGCACGAAGAUCUGCUUCCAGCACUCUCCCAAUAGGCCCUGCUGCAGCACUGCAACCAGCACCAAGAGAAAAAUGCAAUCGACUGCAAAACGUUUUUACAGCUUUUGAAUCAUGGAGCACAACUAUGAAGUCCAUGAGCUCCCCCCCAAUCUAGAGAACCAAAAGACAAGAAACAAAAUUUAUUACCAGAACAAAAUAUUCAAAGGAAUAUACAAAAUAAAUUGAUAUAAAUAACUCAUAGUGGAACCUCUUUCAGUUAGUAAAACACAUGUGAAUUUACCUGAGCGCCCCAUCCUAAACCAACUGAUAAUAUAGCUGAUGGAGCAGACCAGGAACCAUCUGACCUUCUAGCAACAACCAAACCAGUGCCAAGUUUGUAAGAAACUAGUACACCAGCUUUAGCAACUGUUAGAAUUGCCAGACCCUUGGCCCCGUUCAGAACCGCUAAGGGUAUUGAUCUCUCAGGAUUUGACUCCGCAACCUGUUCAUACCAACAAAUACUAUCAGAAUGCUUCAUAACAACAUCAAACAGAAACAUGGCUCUCAUAAUAUACUGAGAGAAGUGUAGUUAUCUUUGUAUGCUGAAGCACCAAAGAUUUUAACAAGAAAGAAACUUCCAACGCAAAAACCAAACUCCCAAGCGGGAAACUCAUCGUAAGUUCAAACAACUUUGCACUAAACAAGACAUUCAUAGUAAUUAAACUUUGAUGAAAUCAAAAUUCACCUGGCAGUAGCUUCUCAAUGUAUUAGAGGCCUUAUAUAUCUCAUAUUCCAUUGACAAACCAACUGGAAGGUUCAGCCAUCCCCUUGUACAUGUCCAAUCCACCACAUCAUGUUUUGCCGCUUGCACAGCAUUGCUAAUUGUAUUAAUAAGAACACCUUGUAAAGGAUCAAGUCUAUCAUAACAAGCAUCACACACCCUUUGUGGAUUCCGCUCUCUA
RNAcentral lists this long non-coding RNA (1931 nucleotides) under Citrus sinensis (sweet orange). Its description in RNAcentral is "long non-coding RNA (CSIN_LNC001609)". The record is from RNAcentral. Lineage: Eukaryota; Viridiplantae; Streptophyta; Magnoliopsida; Sapindales; Rutaceae.